GACGAACGCUGGCGGCGUGCCUAACACAUGCAAGUCGAACGGAAAGGCCCUGCUUUUGUGGGGUGCUCGAGUGGCGAACGGGUGAGUAACACGUGAGUAACCUGCCCUUGACUUUGGGAUAACUUCAGGAAACUGGGGCUAAUACCGGAUAGGAGCUCCUGCUGCAUGGGGGGGGUUGGAAAGUUUCGGCGGUUGGGGAUGGACUCGCGGCUUAUCAGCUUGUUGGUGGGGUAGUGGCUUACCAAGGCUUUGACGGGUAGCCGGCCUGAGAGGGUGACCGGCCACAUUGGGACUGGGAUACGGCCCAGACUCCUACGGGAGGCAGCAGUGGGGAAUAUUGCACAAUGGGCGGAAGCCUGAUGCAGCGACGCCGCGUGCGGGAUGACGGCCUUCGGGUUGUAAACCGCUUUCGCCUGUGACGAAGCGUGAGUGACGGUAAUGUGUAAAGAAGCACCGGCUAACUACGUG
RNAcentral lists this ribosomal RNA (468 nucleotides) under uncultured bacterium. RNAcentral describes it as "partial 16S ribosomal RNA". It matches the Rfam family "Bacterial small subunit ribosomal RNA", at positions 28 to 507 of the family's 1533-position model. The record is from RNAcentral.